AGCUCAAUUGCUUCGGGCUGGUAGCGCAUAUUAAAGUUGUUGCAGUUAAAAAGCUCGUAGUUGAAUUUCAGGCCUGGCUGGGCGGUCCGCCUUUUGGGUGAGUACUGCCUGUGGUCGGGUCCUACCUUCUGGCGAAGCGUCAUGGCCUUAACCGGCCGUGGCGGGGAACCAGGACUUUUACUGUGAAAAAAUUAGAGUGUUCAAAGCAGGCAUUCGCUUGAAUACAUUAGCAUGGAAUAAUGGAAUAGGACAGUGGUUCUAUUUGUUGGUUUCUAGGACCGUUGUAAUGAUUAAUAGGGAUAGUUGGGGGCAUUAGUAUUCAAUUGUCAGAGGUGAAAUUCUUGGAUUUAUUGAAGACUAACUACUGCGAAAGCAUUUGCCAAGGAUGUUUUCAUUAAUCAAGAACGAAAGUUAGGGGAUCGAAGACGAUCAGAUACCGUCGUAGUCUUAACCAUAAACUAUGCCGACUAGGAAUCGGGCGAUGUUGACAAAAUGACGCGCUCGGCGCCUACGGGGGAAACCAACCGAUUGGGUUCGGCCCUCUGUAGCAGCU
RNAcentral lists this ribosomal RNA (553 nucleotides) under Paraglomus occultum. Its description in RNAcentral is "SSU rRNA". It matches the Rfam family "Eukaryotic small subunit ribosomal RNA", at positions 569 to 1116 of the family's 1831-position model. Lineage: Eukaryota; Fungi; Glomeromycota; Glomeromycetes; Paraglomerales; Paraglomeraceae. The record is from RNAcentral.